Molecule: ribosomal RNA, 397 nt
Filed under: Pantoea sp. BV27
Lineage: Bacteria; Pseudomonadati; Pseudomonadota; Gammaproteobacteria; Enterobacterales; Erwiniaceae
Description: bacterial SSU rRNA
Rfam family: Bacterial small subunit ribosomal RNA
Source: RNAcentral
UCGGCAGAGAUGCCUUAGUGCCUUCGGGAACCGUGAGACAGGUGCUGCAUGGCUGUCGUCAGCUCGUGUUGUGAAAUGUUGGGUUAAGUCCCGCAACGAGCGCAACCCUUAUCCUUUGUUGCCAGCGGUCCGGCCGGGAACUCAAAGGAGACUGCCAGUGAUAAACUGGAGGAAGGUGGGGAUGACGUCAAGUCAUCAUGGCCCUUACGACCAGGGCUACACACGUGCUACAAUGGCGCAUACAAAGAGAAGCGACCUCGCGAGAGCAAGCGGACCUCAUAAAGUGCGUCGUAGUCCGGAUUGGAGUCUGCAACUCGACUCCAUGAAGUCGGAAUCGCUAGUAAUCGUGGAUCAGAAUGCCACGGUGAAUACGUUCCCGGGUCUUGUACACACCGAA